RNAcentral lists this ribosomal RNA (354 nucleotides) under Triticum aestivum (bread wheat). Its description in RNAcentral is "partial small subunit ribosomal RNA". The record is from RNAcentral. Lineage: Eukaryota; Viridiplantae; Streptophyta; Magnoliopsida; Poales; Poaceae.
AUGACUCCAACUAAUGUUAAAGCAGUCCGCAGCUUCUUGGGGCUCGCUGGGUACUAUCGAAGAUUCGUCAGGAAUUUUGGGAUCAUAGCUCGUCCACUGUUCAACCUUCUGAAGAAAGGGGCGCCGUUCGUCUGGACACCGGCCACAGAUACAGCAUUCCAGCUACUCAAACAACAUCUGAUCGAAGCCUCAGUUCUGGCGCUGCCCAACUUCGCCAAAUCAUUCGUGAUUGAGACUGACGCAUGUGACAAAGGGAUCGGAGCGAUACUGCAGCAGGAUGGUCAUCCAAUUGCUUACAUGAGCAAAGCCCUGAGCCCUCGAUACCAAGGACUCUCGACCUACGAGAAGGAAUAG